RNAcentral lists this ribosomal RNA (549 nucleotides) under Olividae sp. MNHN IM 2007-33282. RNAcentral describes it as "partial 16S ribosomal RNA". It matches the Rfam family "Bacterial large subunit ribosomal RNA", at positions 1798 to 2613 of the family's 2925-position model. The record is from RNAcentral. Lineage: Eukaryota; Metazoa; Mollusca; Gastropoda; Neogastropoda; Olividae.
GCCUGUUUAUCAAAAACAUCGCUCCUUGUCCCCUAAAAAAUAAGGAGUCGGACCUGCCCGGUGAAAACUUUUAACGGCCGCGGUACUCUGACCGUGCAAAGGUAGCAUAAUCAUUUGCCUUAUAAUUAAAGGCUAGUAUGAAUGGUUUGACGAGAAUAUAGCUGUCUCUUUGUGAUUUUUAAGAAAUUUAUAUUUAGGUGAAGAAGCCUGAAUAACAUUAAAAGACAAGAAGACCCCAUCGAGCUUAAAAUAAGUUAGUAGACUUAAGUUUUUAAUACUUGGUAAAAAAUUGACUGCUAAAAAUUUUGGUUGGGGCGACUUAGGAACAGGAAAAGCUUCCUAUAAUAUUUUUAAGCAUACAAGCACUGACCCAGAAUAAUUCUGAUUAACGAAAUUAGUUACCGUGGGGAUAACAGCAUUAUCUUUUUUGAGAGCCCUAAUCGAAAAAAAGGUUUGUGACCUCGAUGUUGGACCAGAAUAUCCUAAAGAUGCAGCAGUCUUCAAGGGUUGGUCUGUUCGACCAUUAAAAUUCUACGUGAUCUGAGUUCA